Long non-coding RNA from Antechinus flavipes (yellow-footed antechinus), 932 nucleotides. RefSeq lists it as uncharacterized. NCBI's taxonomy places the organism in Eukaryota, Metazoa, Chordata, Mammalia, Dasyuromorphia, Dasyuridae. The transcript is spliced from 3 exons. The record is from RefSeq and is a predicted model, not a curated record.
GGUAACUUCAUCAGCACAUUAUGGUAUUGAGUUAAAUUCUUUGGAAAAAGGAAAAAUUUUUGGUUUGGUAGAAAAAAUGAAGAAACCAAGUGACCUACAUUUCAGGCUGAUUAGUGAAGGAGCUGAGUGCAUUUUUAUUCCCACCAAAAUCUUUCUCAUGGAAGCACCCAUUAUAUCCCAGGAAAUGGCUGUAGAGCUGGUGAAUAGUUAUCCCUCAAAGGGCACAAUUAGGGAGCACCUUAUCAAAAAGCAAGCUUGGAAUAAUUACAAAGCCAAGGUGGUCGCUCAGCAGAUAAAGAGAAAUGCCAGAAUAAUGUCAUCCUAAAUUUCUUUUUAAAGGACAUUGGCUGUGAUAGUGAGAAGACUUUAGAUAUAAAAAAAGGAGGGUAAAAAUGUUAUUGCCUCUUGAGGAGACAGAACAAAUCGCUAAAUAGUUGCAGGCAUAGAAGCAAUUCACACCUGUUUAGUGCAACAGGGAAGGAAAUGCCAUUUCUUUGCUGACUUGAAACUAUCACAGAGGUUUUCUUAGAGAAAAAGAAAUUCAUGCACAUAUGAAAUCGCAAUCAAUUUAAAUGACAGUAGGCAAAGUUAAGCAUAAACAUGUAUAUGCUGAGUUCACAUAUUAAACAAUAUAUUACUACUGUUUGUUUAAUAUUGAUGUUGCACUUUGUGUCACUUACUUCAAAAUAGUGAUAACUUCAAGCAAUAAAGAGGGGGGAAAACUUGAAAGAACUGUGUGCAGAGACAAAAUGAGAAAGCUAGAGCUCUGUAUGUAGCAUUCAGAAACAUCAAAUUAACUUUUUGUUUGUUUUUUUUAUAGUUUUUUCUUGUAAAGGUUGCAGCUUGGCUAAAAAAAAUAAUCUUUGUAUUAUAUGUUAUUUGGUUGUUUUGUUGAUGGCUAUUGAUCUUAAAUAAAUUUUUGUUUAAAAAAA